RNAcentral lists this transfer RNA (71 nucleotides) under Marmota monax (woodchuck). RNAcentral describes it as "tRNA.Val". It matches the Rfam family "tRNA". Rfam says of the family: Transfer RNA (tRNA) molecules are approximately 80 nucleotides in length. The record is from RNAcentral. Lineage: Eukaryota; Metazoa; Chordata; Mammalia; Rodentia; Sciuridae.
GGGGUUGUAGCUCAAUGGUAGAGCGCUUGCCUCACAUGCAUGAGGUAGUGAGUUCAAUCCUCAGCACUACA